This 492-nucleotide ribosomal RNA is filed under the name uncultured bacterium. RNAcentral describes it as "partial 16S ribosomal RNA". It matches the Rfam family "Bacterial small subunit ribosomal RNA", at positions 29 to 507 of the family's 1533-position model. The record is from RNAcentral.
AGUGAACGCUGGCGGUAGGCCUAACACAUGCAAGUCGAACGGCAGCACAGUAAGAGCUUGCUCUUACGGGUGGCGAGUGGCGGACGGGUGAGGAAUAAAUCGGAAUCUACUUUUUCGUGGGGGAUAACGUAGGGAAACUUACGCUAAUACCGCAUACGACCUACGGGUGAAAGCAGGGGAUCUUCGGACCUUGCGCGAUUGAAUGAGCCGAUGUCGGAUUAGCUAGUUGGCGGGGUAAAGGCCCACCAAGGCGACGAUCCGUAGCUGGUCUGAGAGGAUGAUCAGCCACACUGGAACUGGGACACGGUCCAGACUCCUACGGGAGGCAGCAGUGGGGAAUAUUGGACAAUGGGCGCAAGCCUGAUCCAGCCAUACCGCGUGGGUGAAGAAGGCCUUCGGGUUGUAAAGCCCUUUUGUUGGGAAAGAAAAGCAGCAGGUUAAUACCCCGCUGUUCUGACGGUACCCAAAGAAUAAGCACCGGCUAACUUCGUG